RNAcentral lists this non-coding RNA (31 nucleotides) under Mus musculus (house mouse). The record is from RNAcentral. Lineage: Eukaryota; Metazoa; Chordata; Mammalia; Rodentia; Muridae.
UGCUAUUUAGAAACAAUAGAAAUAAUGUUGC